GAUGAACGCUGGCGGCGUGCCUAAUACAUGCAAGUCGAGCGAACGGACGAGAAGCUUGCUUUUCUGAUGUUAGCGGCGGACGGGUGAGUAACACGUGGAUAACCUACCUAUAAGACUGGGAUAACUUCGGGAAACCGGAGCUAAUACCGGAUAAUAUUUUGAACCGCAUGGUUCAAAAGUGAAAGACGGUCUUGCUGUCACUUAUAGAUGGAUCCGCGCUGCAUUAGCUAGUUGGUAAGGUAACGGCUUACCAAGGCAACGAUGCAUAGCCGACCUGAGAGAGUGAUCGGCCUCACUGGAACUGAGACACGGUCCAGACUCCUACGGGAGGCAGCAGUAGGGAAUCUUCCGCAAUGGGCGAAAGCCUGACGGAGCAACGCCGCGUGAGUGAUGAAGGUCUUCGGAUCGUAAAACUCUGUUAUUAGGGAAGAACAUAUGUGUAAGUAACUGUGCACAUCUUGACGGUACCUAAUCAGAAAGCCACGGCUAACUACGUG
RNAcentral lists this ribosomal RNA (497 nucleotides) under uncultured bacterium. Its description in RNAcentral is "partial 16S ribosomal RNA". It matches the Rfam family "Bacterial small subunit ribosomal RNA", at positions 28 to 507 of the family's 1533-position model. The record is from RNAcentral.